This 502-nucleotide ribosomal RNA is filed under the name uncultured bacterium. RNAcentral's name for it is "partial 16S ribosomal RNA". It matches the Rfam family "Bacterial small subunit ribosomal RNA", at positions 28 to 507 of the family's 1533-position model. The record is from RNAcentral.
GAUGAAUGCUGGCGGCGUGCCUAACACAUGCAAGUCGAGCGGCAGCGAGUUUUACACUGAAUUCUGGAAGCUUCUGAGUAGUACAGAAGAUUUAUUCAAGAGUUUUGUGUAAAAUGUCGGCGAGCGGCGGACGGCUGAGUAACGCGUAGGAAUUUGCCCCAAAGUGAGGAAUAACUGCCCGAAAGGGUGCCUAAUGCGGCAUAUGUCCUUCGGUUUAAAGCCUUCGGGCGCUUUGGGAGAAGCCUGCGUUGGAUUAGGUAGUUGGUAGGGUAAUGGCCUACCAAGCCGACGAUCCAUAGCUGGUCUGAGAGGAUGAUCAGCCAGACUGGAACUGAGACACGGUCCAGACUCCUACGGGAGGCAGCAGUGAGGAAUCUUCCACAAUGGGCGAAAGCCUGAUGGAGCAACGCCGCGUGAAGGAUGAAGGCCUUCGGGUUGUAAACUUCUUUUAUGAGUGAAGAAUAUGACGGUAACUCAUGAAUAAGCACCGGCUAACUACGUG